This 1448-nucleotide long non-coding RNA is filed under the name Homo sapiens (human). Its description in RNAcentral is "non-protein coding OTUD6B-AS1:12". The record is from RNAcentral. Lineage: Eukaryota; Metazoa; Chordata; Mammalia; Primates; Hominidae.
AGAGCCGAGUCAGCCAUAAAGCUACGCGCUAGGCUCUUGGCCCUGACGUGAGGCGCGCAGAGAUGGCGUAACGGGAAUAGUUUUCAACGUCUAUUUCAUUCCCUGCUUCAGAGGACCUCUUUAAUCUUUGAUUUUGGUCCCUGUUUCUAAGAAAAGCAACUGAAAAGGUCGUAAUACCGCCCCUGAGAAAAAAGGAGCAGCGCUAAAUAAUCGAGAAAAUGCCUCCUCUUGAAACGGAUAUAGAGAUGGAAACAAGAUAUAAGAAGGAUUGAGAAUCAUAUAAUACAGGAGCUUAAACACCUAUGCGCGAUGAUAAAGAGGGUACUAUUAGAGCGCUUGGAAAAUACCAGGAAGUUGAGAGAGUUAACAGAAGGGCGCACGCUGGAUUGGCCACAAAAUCGAAUUACUGAAGGCCACUACUGAUUAGGACACUUAUGGAGAACGUGGGUAGCACUGAAGCAGCAUUCUAGUUUCCAGUGCCAUCAACCUCAUACGUAUCUACCUGGUCUCUGAUCGAAGCUACCGUAAUGUGUUCUUGAGGUCAACAUGUUUUGUGGAAGUCACUGUAUUUGCCCCUUUAUGUCAAUUACCUAUUAUAAACCGAGAGAAAUGGGAAAAUUAAAAACCUGUUUUGAAUUAUUUUUAAUGCAGAACUAUUUUUUCAAGUGAAAUCUUAUACAGAAGUCUGGUAUAUGAAACAGAUAAAAAUGAACCAAUGAGAUUGAAGGGAAUGAGUAGCAUGUAAUCCUGCCCACUCUUCGGAGAAUUUGAGGCAACUUUGUAGAGCCUUAGGAGUUCAGUUUGUAUGUUACUGGGUAAUUUAAAGCAGAAAUUUUAAUCUGACUGCACUUAAGAAUCAUCUGAAGUGUUUGUAUUGGUUAGUCUUAUUUUUAAUACUGAUGUCCUGGUCUCUCUCCCCUCAAAAAAACUCUGCUGCUGGGACCAAGCACAUAGAUGCUUUUUAAAAAGCUCCCGAAAAUGACUCUAAUAUGCAGCCAGGAUUGAAAAUAACUACCCUACACAGCAUUUUUCCUGAUUCUGAGCACUCAGCUUUUCAUUGAUUUUCCCUAGGGCAAGUCCUUCAUCUUAUUCUGGGUCCUUGUGUUUUCUUUCUGAACCUACAAUUUCUCCAUAGGUCCCAUGGUUUUCAAAAUUUCUCAUUUUCCAUUUUCUGUCCUUUUAUAUUACCUACUUGAAAACCACAGUCAUCUUUCAAAACAAAACACUGCCUGUUUCUUAGGUCUUUAUUGUGGGCUUGUUAUUCCUCAAUACAAAUUUACAUAAAAUAAUAACAAUUAAGACAUGGGCCUUGGUGUCAGAAUUAUUUUAUAUCUUUCUUAUUAACUCUGCAGCUUACCAGCUCUGGAUAAGUUAAAGGACAGCUAUAGUCUUACUACAUAGAAUCAUUAUAAGGAAUUGGUGGAGUGAUCCUUAUAAAGUGUUUGCAU